UAAUUAUGCCCAAAAAAACGAAUUGACAACUUUGGUAUUGUUUGGUAUGAACAGCUUAAUUCCUUUAUGUAAAGCCAACUUAACAUGUUGUUGCAUAAUUCUGACUCACGUUGGUUGCUAUCGGGCUUAAGCCAUAAAAAUCGAAGAAAAAAAGAAGAAGACGCCCACUUUCAGUUGUCAUUUCAAUGUCACUUUCCGGCCCACAAGCAUAAACGCCACCGGCAACGGCAGUUCCCAAAAUCCAAACAAAUGUUGGAAGAUAUUUUUAAGUCUCCGCAUCUUUCUUACUUUCCUAUAUGAAAAUAAAAUUGGAGUACACCAACAAAGGUUAUGUGUUUUGCACCAGAUUGAAAGCAUCAUAGCGAAAAACGGACCUGUCAUAUCUUUACAUUUCCAAAAGAGCCCCUGGAAAAAGAAAAAUUAAUAUCUCUGCUAAGGAAUACUAAGGCAAAUGGAUAAAAAACCUUGAGUCCAUGCAUUGGAAUGUAAUUGUUGACAGAAAUACAAUGAAUGGCCUCACUACUUUUCCACAUGCAAAGAGGUUAACCAAGGAGAAAUUAAAGAAAUUGUCAGAAACCUAGGUAAAUACAGAAUUGCUUAGUACAAACUUAUCUAUACCCAGUACAAGUUUGUCCGGUAAUUCUGCAGUUUAGCGGCUU
Anthonomus grandis grandis is the source of this 659-nucleotide long non-coding RNA. RefSeq lists it as uncharacterized. Lineage: Eukaryota; Metazoa; Arthropoda; Insecta; Coleoptera; Curculionidae. The transcript has 4 exons. The record is from RefSeq and is a predicted model, not a curated record.